AACGUACACAACUGCGCCAGUGAUUGCUGAAGCCAAUGGUGAAGCCAGGAAGGCAGCGGUAUUACCCACCUCCUCUGUUUCAAUAAACAUAAGUUUACAAAAGUUAAAUGGAAGAACAAAGUGGGAAGCAAUGCAUGUAACUGAAUGGCUGUAUUUGGUCAUAACAUUGUCGACCAUUUUUUUAUCUAGUCAGUUGGGGAUAGAAAAAUUACAUGCAAAAGAAAAGAUUAUUCUAAAUAAAGAUAAAAUUUUAACUUUGGGAAAUUGAUUAAAAAAAAAACUUCAUAUUCUACAGAAACUGGCUAAUUACUUCACCCCUCCCCCAGUUUUUUUGUUUUAUUAUUCUGGCAGUACAAUCAAAUGCAAACUAAGCUGUACGGCAGUUCAUACUCACCUGCAGAUAGUUCCUUCUGUAGA
RNAcentral lists this unclassified non-coding RNA (417 nucleotides) under Hevea brasiliensis (rubber tree). Lineage: Eukaryota; Viridiplantae; Streptophyta; Magnoliopsida; Malpighiales; Euphorbiaceae. The record is from RNAcentral.